AACGCGAAGAACCUUACCAGGUCUUGACAUCCCCUGACAACCCGAGAGAUCGGGCGUUCCCCCUUCGGGGGGACAGGGUGACAGGUGGUGCAUGGUUGUCGUCAGCUCGUGUCGUGAGAUGUUGGGUUAAGUCCCGCAACGAGCGCAACCCUCGACCUUAGUUGCCAGCAUUCAGUUGGGCACUCUAAGGUGACUGCCGGCUAAAAGUCGGAGGAAGGUGGGGAUGACGUCAAAUCAUCAUGCCCCUUAUGACCUGGGCUACACACGUGCUGCAAUGGGCGGUACAAAGGGUCGCGAACCCGCGAGGGGGAGCCAAUCCCAAAAAGCCGCUCUCAGUUCGGAUUGCAGGCUGCAACUCGCCUGCAUGAAGCCGGAAUCGCUAGUAAUCGCGGAUCAGCAUGCCGCGGUGAAUACGUUCCCGGGUCUUGUACACACGC
RNAcentral lists this ribosomal RNA (437 nucleotides) under uncultured bacterium. RNAcentral's name for it is "bacterial SSU rRNA". It matches the Rfam family "Bacterial small subunit ribosomal RNA", at positions 958 to 1393 of the family's 1533-position model. The record is from RNAcentral.